RNAcentral lists this long non-coding RNA (222 nucleotides) under Elaeis guineensis (African oil palm). RNAcentral describes it as "long non-coding RNA (EGUI_LNC033925)". The record is from RNAcentral. Lineage: Eukaryota; Viridiplantae; Streptophyta; Magnoliopsida; Arecales; Arecaceae.
CCUCUCCGUUCUUCCUAGUUCUCAAGAGUGUCUGUGAGAUCUGUGAGAGAACAACCUCAGCCAUCAAAGAGGAGUCUUCUGCAAGAGAGCUAGCACUCCAGUGAAGACACCUACCUCUGAUUGAAACGAGCCUCAUGUGGAUAUUUAUAGAGGUCGGGUGCAUGUGCGGCUAAAGGAACCCAUCAAAAUCCAUGAUCAUCGACUGUGGUAUAGAUCGACUCA